AUAAAAGCGAUGAAUAGGAAGAGUAAAUUUAAUUCGACUAUCAGAGAGGAAAGUUCACAGGCUGAAAGACUUUCUAAGUUUGAGAAAUUGAAAACUACCUAGGAGCUGUGGUCUGAAGUUACUUUAAAAAGUUUUAGUAAGACUAACCGUUAACUGCGUUAAAGUGUAAAGUGGAUUUUAUCAAUAAAUGAUAAAAUCAAAUUGGGUGGAACCGCGAGUAUGGACUCGUCCCUUUA
RNAcentral lists this non-coding RNA (236 nucleotides) under Clostridioides difficile. Its description in RNAcentral is "Clostridium difficile T-box sequence". It matches the Rfam family "T-box leader". Rfam says of the family: Uncharged tRNA acts as the effector for transcription antitermination of genes in the T-box leader family. T-boxes are found upstream of many aminoacyl-tRNA synthetase genes and some amino acid biosynthetic genes usually in Gram-positive bacteria. The record is from RNAcentral. Lineage: Bacteria; Bacillati; Bacillota; Clostridia; Peptostreptococcales; Peptostreptococcaceae.